GAUCCUAGCUCAGGAUGAACGCUGGCGGCGUGCUUAACACAUGCAAGUCGAGCGAAGCACUUAGGAAAGAUUCUUCGGAUGAUUUCCUAUUUGACUGAGCGGCAGACGGGUGAGUAACGCGUGGGUAACCUGCCUCAUACAGGGGGAUAACAGUUAGAAAUGACUGCUAAUACCGCAUAAGACCACAGCACCGCAUGGUGCAGGGGUAAAAACUCUGGUGGUAUGAGAUGGACCCGCG
Molecule: ribosomal RNA, 238 nt
Filed under: uncultured bacterium
Lineage: Bacteria
Description: partial 16S ribosomal RNA
Rfam family: Bacterial small subunit ribosomal RNA
Source: RNAcentral